This 231-nucleotide long non-coding RNA is filed under the name Setaria viridis. RNAcentral's name for it is "long non-coding RNA (SVIR_LNC007821)". The record is from RNAcentral. Lineage: Eukaryota; Viridiplantae; Streptophyta; Magnoliopsida; Poales; Poaceae.
CAAACUUCCCUUGGCAUGCAAUGCUCCACAGUCCCGGUCUCUACCGUACUGUGACCGCACUUGCACCCACAUGAUGCACCAUGGGAACCUCGUUCCAGGGACAACAGGGGUAUAAGCCACACCCUAGUUCAAUCAGGUACUAGGCUUCCCCAUCCCAUACUAGGUAUGAGAUUAGUACUUUCAAACACUUGAUCACGAACACCACCACUGUCGGGCCUUAGCAAGUUUCAU